GACGGAGGAGGCAAGCGUUAUCCGGAAUUAUUGGGCGUAAAGGGUACGUAGGCGGCUGGGCAAGUCUGGUGUCAAAGGCCACAGCUCAACUGUGGGAAGGCCCUGGAAACUGACCGGCUAGAGUGAGGUAGGGGUUGCGGGAAUUCCCGGUGUAGCGGUGAAAUGCGUAGAUAUCGGUAAGAACACCUGAGGCGAAAGCGCGCAACUGGGCCCUAACUGACUCUGAGGUGUGAAAGCUAGGGGAGCGAAUGGG
Molecule: ribosomal RNA, 253 nt
Filed under: uncultured bacterium
Lineage: Bacteria
Description: partial 16S ribosomal RNA
Rfam family: Bacterial small subunit ribosomal RNA
Source: RNAcentral